This 902-nucleotide ribosomal RNA is filed under the name Cellulomonas sp. KAR10. RNAcentral's name for it is "bacterial SSU rRNA". It matches the Rfam family "Bacterial small subunit ribosomal RNA", at positions 47 to 958 of the family's 1533-position model. The record is from RNAcentral. Lineage: Bacteria; Bacillati; Actinomycetota; Actinomycetes; Micrococcales; Cellulomonadaceae.
CUUAACACAUGCAAGUCGAACGGUGACGACGGGGCUUGCUCUGUCUGAUCAGUGGCGAACGGGUGAGUAACACGUGAGUAACCUGCCCCCGACUCUGGAAUAACCGUGGGAAACGACGGCUAAUACCGGAUAUGAGACGCACGGGCAUCUGUGUGUCUGGAAAGAUUUAUCGGUCAGGGAUGGACUCGCGGCCUAUCAGCUUGUUGGUGGGGUAAUGGCCCACCAAGGCGACGACGGGUAGCCGGCCUGAGAGGGCGACCGGCCACACUGGGACUGAGAUACGGCCCAGACUCCUACGGGAGGCAGCAGUGGGGAAUAUUGCACAAUGGGCGCAAGCCUGAUGCAGCGACGCCGCGUGAGGGAUGAAGGCCUUCGGGUUGUAAACCUCUUUCAGCAGGGAAGAAGCGAAAGUGACGGUACCUGCAGAAGAAGCGCCGGCUAACUACGUGCCAGCAGCCGCGGUAAUACGUAGGGCGCAAGCGUUGUCCGGAAUUAUUGGGCGUAAAGAGCUCGUAGGCGGUUUGUCGCGUCUGCUGUGAAAACCUGAGGCUCAACCUCGGGCUUGCAGUGGGUACGGGCAGACUAGAGUGCGGUAGGGGUGACUGGAAUUCCUGGUGUAGCGGUGGAAUGCGCAGAUAUCAGGAGGAACACCGAUGGCGAAGGCAGGUCACUGGGCCGCAACUGACGCUGAGGAGCGAAAGCAUGGGGAGCGAACAGGAUUAGAUACCCUGGUAGUCCAUGCCGUAAACGUUGGGCACUAGGUGUGGGGCUCAUUCCACGAGUUCCGUGCCGCAGCAAACGCAUUAAGUGCCCCGCCUGGGGAGUACGGCCGCAAGGCUAAAACUCAAAGAAAUUGACGGGGGCCCGCACAAGCGGCGGAGCAUGCGGAUUAAUUCGAUGCA